This is a non-coding RNA of Ruminococcus sp. CAG:382, 264 nucleotides long. It matches the Rfam family "Bacterial large signal recognition particle RNA". From Rfam's summary of the family: The signal recognition particle (SRP) is a universally conserved ribonucleoprotein involved in the co-translational targeting of proteins to membranes. Archaeal SRP consists of a 7S RNA and homologues of the eukaryotic SRP19 and SRP54 proteins. NCBI's taxonomy places the organism in Bacteria, Bacillati, Bacillota, Clostridia, Eubacteriales, Oscillospiraceae. The record is from Rfam.
CCAUACUAACCGGGGAGUCAGCGGUGCCUUGUCGCCUGCAACCCGCUAUAGCAGGGGUGAUAUGCCAUUUGAGGGCGGUUCAUGUACAGCCGCGCUGUUCGGAAGCCGUUGAGAGACGGGUCUUACGCGAUUGUCUGCCGCGAACCAUGUCAGGUGGGGAACCAAGCAGCAUUAAACGGAUUUGCCAAUGCGCCGUAAGGUCACCUGUUUUGAGGACAAUGUUCAGCACCCGUGUAUGUGCCUCGUUCGAUUAUGGAUGUAUGG